Molecule: ribosomal RNA, 370 nt
Filed under: Methanomassiliicoccus luminyensis
Lineage: Archaea; Methanobacteriati; Thermoplasmatota; Thermoplasmata; Methanomassiliicoccales; Methanomassiliicoccaceae
Description: bacterial SSU rRNA
Rfam family: Archaeal small subunit ribosomal RNA
Source: RNAcentral
UUAUUAUUGGGCCUAAAGCGUCCGUAGCUGGUCUUCUAAAUGCCUGGGUAAAUCCAACCGCUCAACCGAUCGAACUGCGGGUAGACCGGGAGACUAGGGACCGGGAGAGGCACGAGGUACUCCGGGGGUAGGGGUGAAAUUCUGUAAUCCUGGAAGGACUACCGGUGGCGAAGGCGCUUGCUAGAACGGCUCCGACGGUGAGGGACGAAGCCCUGGGGCGCAAACCGGAUUAGAUACCCGGGUAGUCCAGGGUGUAAACGCUGCGGACUUGGUGUCGGUGAUCCUGAGAGGGCAGCCGGUGCCGGAGAGAAGUUGUUAAGACUGCCGCCUGGGGAGUACGGCCGCAAGACUGAAACUUAAAGGAAUUGGC